AUAUUUGUUGAAUUUAAAAGUGUAAUGAGAUUAUUAAAAUAAAUGUGCAUUAACUGUUCAUUUACUUUUUAAUAAACUCGGAAUAAACCUGUAAAGUAUUUUAUAAAGUAGGACAGUGCAGUGCCCUUUGUUCUUAGUGCCCCAAUUUGGCCACCCCUCUUAAAAUUUUACCUCUGUCCCACAAAAACAGUAUAAAAUAAGUGACUCCCACAAUGGCAGAUUAGUGAUAAACUGGAGUGUAAUGUACAAAGAUAAUGAACUGAUAGACAACUUGUAGAGAGUCAUAGCGUCGGAUUUCUCAUAUGACGAUGGUUUGUGUGCUUUAACAGUUUGCUAAACGUCUUUGUUUUAACUUUCAUCUGUGCUAAGUAACUUUAGCCUGUAAGAUAACCUGUUCAGAUACAACAUACCAUAUGUAUUUUCACUGUCUCAAACUCAAUCGCAUUGCUGUCACAGCACCAUUAGGUCUCGGUUGUUACCUUACGUUUAUGGAUUAUAGUUUAAUGUGCUUAUCUGGUACUGGCCCAGACUCAGUACAUGCUACAGAACACGUCUUUUUUCCCCCUGGGAAAGUCGCAAAAUCGCAUCAGGCUCGAUGUGUAUAGUCAGGUGCGUCAAAAUUCGCCUCUGAAUAUUUCAUAAUUUCGUGUCGUACAUUUGCGUCUUUCCCGGUGUGUGAGGACCUUAAAGAUCGAGAAAAUUGACAAUAUCAUAGAAUCGCAAUUUCAAUCGAAUUGGCAUCUAAAAGAUCAUAGAGGAAUAAAAAAAAAAAAGCAUAUCGUCCCAGCCCUAUUAAAAAAGUACCUUCAAGCUUCAAAGUUUUCCUUUUUAGCCUUCAAUGCAGUAAAUCAACACAGGAGCACUUUUAAGCAUGUUUGAAUAUCUUGUAUCAUUCCCAACUCAAAUUUUGGCAGAUCCAAAACCGUGUGUUUGGUCCUCAAACUAAUCAUAGAUGGUCUCAGGCUUGUGUGUCUACGCAUUAAGCUUUUUAAAGUAAUCAAUUAACUGCAAAGCAACAGAUUUGAGUGCAAUUAAUCAAAAACUAAAAAUGCGUCAUCUUCCAAAAUUUCCAAUUCAUGUGAGAGAGAGAUACUGUAUUAAUUUCUUGAGUGUGUACUCGAAAGCAUCACUUAGCUGUGUUUAUUUUUGGGAGACAAAGAUGGUAUUUGCAUAGCUGUGCUAUAUCAGCGUGUGUGUUCAGAUCUAAGCAUUUUGUCGCAACAAACAGGACUUUGCAUUUUUGUGUUUUUGUGUGUGUUUGCAGGAGUGCAUUUGUUUGAGACUUUGUGUGUGUGUGUUGCAAAGUGUUGUCAGAAGUGAUCCCAUUUUCAUUACUCACUGACUCAAAGAAGGAGGUGAGGCCCUGGCUCGCAGCAGUGAUAAAUGCAUUACCCCAAUAAACCCUGUCUCCACUGAGGUGCUGAAUGCUGACACACACACUCACACAAACACGCACACACACACACACACAAUGAGUAAUGGAGAGAAAAAAGAGGCUGGCGACAGAAAGAAAAGGGAUGGAUAGAUAAAGGGAGUAAAGAGACAAUCAGAUGGCAAGAGAAAGACAGUGACAGGUAAGAGGAGAUGAGAAAGAGGAGAUUGAGAGAGAAAAAACAACAGCGAUGGGAAGGUGGGGGGAAAGUGACAGGUGCCGGGGAAAAGAGAGCGACAGGAAAGAGGGUAGACGGAGGAAAAAGAGGCAGACAGACAGGAGGGAGCUGGGAGGAGGUGAUGGGAGCAGAGAGACAGAAGGUUAGGGGUAGAGGGGUGCUAAUGGCUGUAUGCAGAGCGGGGCUGUGGGGCAUACGGUUGUUGCGGGGGCACAGAGAUGUAUGUGUGGGAGAGGGGGAUAGAGAGCAGUAUAGAUGGAGUGAUGGUUAGGAGGAGGGAGGUGGGAGGUGAGGGAUCAGUGGUGUCCAGCUGGCCUCUUCCUCGGCCCCUCAUUAGAGCAGCACAGGUCUGUCGCGAAUAGUAAUCGGGGGGGAGACAAGGGGGAAGAUGUACAUACUGUGUAGAGAGUGUGUGUUUUAAACAGUGUGGGUAUGCUCGAGUGUGUGUACACACAGUUCAUUCUCACUUCCCAGCAGACUUGCAGUGGUAGUUAGUGUUUGAGUGUACUCUGACCACAGUCGCUGUCUUUCUUUCACUUUUUUCAAACGGAUUAUCAAAACUUCAGAGUCGUCUCUCUAGAACAGGGAGAGUUGACCCUGACCUGUGUAACCAGGCAGCUAACAAACAACACAACAAAGAAGGAUCCAACUCCAGAGUAGGACUGGGCAAUUUGGAAAAAAGAAUGAUCAUGAUAUAUUUUGUCAUAUUAUCUGAUCUCGAUUAUCAUCUGAUCUUGAUUAUAUAUAAAAAAAAAAAUUUAAACUGCCAGUUUUAAACUGCCAGUUUUAAAGCAUCUGUACUAAAAAGGUAACACUUUCGUAAUUACAGUACACUUAACUAGUAUCGCUACGCAAUCUUCGCACGCCCAUAGGCUGUAUAAAGUGUCAAUCAUAGAAAAUAAGAACCCCAAAUAGCUUUUGAAAAUGGAGCUGAACAGAAAAAAGAAAAACUAGACAGUAUUGACUUAGUAGUUAUUAUGUAAUUACCAGAUAAUUUCAUGUUGUUACUAGGUAAAUUACCUGUUAAUUACCUGGUAAUAAGUGUACCGUAAAAGAAAGGGUUAUCCUAAAAACUAUUGAAACUAGGGAUUAGUUCAACAUUUCAGUAACAUACAAUGUAAAUAACAAAGCAAAUUGAAUAAGAUAAACUCAGAAAAAUGACGUCACUUUGGAGAUACCUGAACCCACUGCCACACAACUGAUGUUGAAUAACCUUUCUUCUCAACAAUAACAUCUUCAGAGGAUGACUCAAAGUCAUGGCUGACAUCUAUUCUGCUGCCCUCAGCUCCGCGUUAAGCUCCACAUUCGGUCAUUCUGUUUACGUCUCCGGCAACUUACUGAAGUGAGCAGGAAAAGCUUGACUCUGAGCGGCAGUUGUCACGCACAUUUCUGCCAUGUUUGAUCCAGUAAAUGUGCUCACAGCUGAUCACUGUGAUCGAACCGAAAUUUAUCACAAUCAUAUAAUAGACCAAUCCUACUCCAGAGUUGGUUGUGUUUACGUUGAUUAAGGCAGACAGCUUACAUGUACUUUUCGAACAGCACCAAAACAAAUUGACAGGCCAACAGACUGAAACGAUGGAAAAAUUAUUUAUCUUCUGGAUCCAUCGUUUUUCCUGUUUUUGUAAGCUCAAAAAAAAAAAAGGCCAUAUCGCCCAACCCUAGAUCAAUCUUUGAAAUGUUGGGUUUGGUAGCUGUUAGGAAAACUUCUUCUCAUGGUUACCUAAGUCAAAGUAGUUUAAAGAAUGGGACCAUUGACUAAGCUGCUGGAUUUGACAAGCUGACAGUGACUCGACUGUAAGAAGGAGCAAAUACAGUAAAUGUAGUCACUGAUCACAACAGGGAGUCCAAAACACAAGUGUACAUCUGUAAUUGAGUGCAUGUGUAAGUGUGUGCAAUAAAGUGAACAUGUAUUGGUGCUUGUGUGUUGCAUUGAAUGAGCUUGUGUACAUGGAUAAAAUGCACAUUUAUGUAUACAGUAGCCUAAGGGGAAAAGUGUGUGUGUGUGAUUCAUGUAAAUAUACCUGAGUGUAAUUAUGCAAUAGUGUGUGUGAGAGAGAAAGUGAAUGGAUUUGAGUGUAUAUGCACUUGGCAUGGGAAUAUUUAGAUGAGGGUCUGUGUGUAUGCAGUGUGUUUUCAUGAAUGAGAAUGACUUAGGGUGUGUUAGCUGUAACACCUAAUCACCAUCUCCCUCCUUCUCUCUCUCUCUCUCUCUCUCUCUUUCUCUCUCUCUUCUUUGCCUCCCGGCCCAACACCUCUGGUAAUGAGGUGAGGGUUGGAAGGGAUCAGAACCCUUAGCGAAGUGGACCGGCCCAUCCUCAGUUGUGACUACAUGCAGGUCAGGCCUCCCUCAUUAGCCGCCAUCACAGUGGCAUCACAGGCAAAAAAGUGCCAGAGUGCAAAUUGAAGACACCAAGUUCACUAAAUCAAAUCAGAACCUGAGACCCCACUGCAUCUUAAAAAAAAAAAAGAAGAAGAAGAAGAAGAAGGAAGUAAAGCAGCUUUUAAAUUCCUUUUUGGGAUUCUUGAGAAAUUAGAGAAGUCAGAUGUGGUGCGUUGGAGGGGGCAGAUGGGGAAAAGAGAGGCCGAGAGGGGUGGAGGGCAGAAUACAAUUAAAAGGGAGCAGAGAGUCAAGGGGACUGACCUGGUGAUGGGAGGGGAGAGGAGGGGAGAGAGGGCAGUUCUUAGUGCACGUGCACCACAUAAUGAAAGGUUGAACUUUGUGUGGCCGGGGUGGCAUACCAAAUCGAGUCACCCCGGGAGUAUUGAGAGAGAGUGUCAGGAAAGAGGGUAGAGAGAGCAGACUGAAUGGUGAGAGAGAGAAGGAGGAAGGAGAAAUGGAAACAACAGGCGACCCAAACUAAAGAGGCAAAGGCGAAGGAGAGGCUGAGACUUUAACGAGGGACGAGGAAGGUAGUGAGAGAGACCCAAGCUGGGAGGGACGGAGGAAGGCAGACUGACUCGCCGUGCAGAGAGGAGGAGGAUGGAGAAGGAAUGGAGGGAGAGACAGAGCGAGAGAGGCCCCCGCUACAUGGCUGCCACGGGGGCCUGAGUGACAGAAAUUAAUAAUUAGUGACAAUGAUUGACAGCGCUCCCUCCAUCUGCGGCUCUCCGCCGCCUCACAACGCCUGCCUCCGCCAGCGACCGCGGGCACAAUGAGCUCCAGAGGGAUUGUGGGAGACGCACUUGAUUGACAACUGCCUCCUGGAGAGACAAGGAGAGGGUGGAGGGGGGUGGGCAGGAGCCGGGGAGAGAAAGGAUGGCGUGAAAGAGAGGAGAGGUGGUGUACAAGAGGGGAGGGAUGGAGGGGAGAGGUGGAUGACAGGGGCAAGGGGACAGAACAAGAAAAGGAGGGUUGGGGGGUUUAGUAAGAUGGUCAGGGGUUUUUCUCCUCCCUAGAUUGAGGGAGGAAUUGCUGCUAUCAACUCCUCUCAGUCCUCUCCUCCAUUACUGUCCCCGCUUUCUUCAUCACACCGAGGGCCUCUCUUCCUAUGAUCUCACCUUCACCACCACUCCCCCACCAGUGUAUAGCACCGUUUUGCAGAAGUGACGAAUGCACCGCAGAAGGAAAGAGAGAGAUAAAUAAAGAAGGGAAUAUGAGAAAAGGGGGUUGAGCCCUCGGGUUUCAGGGGUGAGGGGAAUAGCCUGUAAAAAGUCAUCAGCAGGGAAUUUGUCACUCUCUCUCUCUCUGUCCCUGCCCUGCCUCCGUUUUCUCUCUUUAUCCUCGCUGCAUCCGUCCGCUGCUCCUGUUAGCCAUCCAAAGUGCCUUUCUCUUUAGUGUCAGCGCUGACAUCACAGCGUCCCGGGUUUGCUAAGUGUUUUGUCUUUCACUGGAAGUGAAAAACAUCUGUGCAGAGAAGUGAAGUAUUACACGACGACUCAUGUAGAAGCUGAAUCUUAAUCUUUUUUUUCUCUUGCAUAUCUUGUUCUCUCUUUGCCCUCCCGUUCCCCUUUUCUUUCAUUUUACUCUUGUUUGAUCCGUUUUUCUCCCUCUGGUGUACCUUCUCUUCAUCCCUUUUUUUCCCCCCCUUCCAUGCCAGGCCUGUUUCAGCCUGCCUUGACAUGGUCUGGUCUAAUGUGCUCCAGUACGGCUUAAUCGCU
Molecule: long non-coding RNA, 5708 nt
Filed under: Xyrichtys novacula (pearly razorfish)
Lineage: Eukaryota; Metazoa; Chordata; Actinopteri; Labriformes; Labridae
Source: RNAcentral